Molecule: ribosomal RNA, 257 nt
Filed under: uncultured bacterium
Lineage: Bacteria
Description: partial 16S ribosomal RNA
Rfam family: Bacterial small subunit ribosomal RNA
Source: RNAcentral
UACGGAGGGUGCAAGCGUUAUCCGGAUUUACUGGGUUUAAAGGGUGUGUAGGCGGGCUUUUAAGUCAGUGGUGAAAUCUCCGGGCUCAACCUGGAAACUGCCAUUGAUACUAUUAGUCUUGAAUAUUGUUGAGGUAGGCGGAAUAAGUCAUGUAGCGGUGAAAUGCAUAGAUAUGACUUAGAACACCAAUUGCGAAGGCAGCUUGCUAAACAAUGAUUGACGCUGAGGCACGAAAGCGUGGGGAAUCAAACAGGAGU